Molecule: ribosomal RNA, 253 nt
Filed under: uncultured bacterium
Lineage: Bacteria
Description: partial 16S ribosomal RNA
Rfam family: Bacterial small subunit ribosomal RNA
Source: RNAcentral
UACGGAGGGUGCAAGCGUUAAUCGGAAUUACUGGGCGUAAGGCGUGCGCAGGCGGUUUGUUAAGUCCGCUGUGAAAUCCCCGAGCUCAACUUGGGAAUUGCAGUGGAUACUGGCAAGCUGGAGUAUGGUAGAGGAAGGUGGAAUUCCCGGUGUAGCAGUGAAAUGCGUAGAGAUCGGGAGGAACACCAGUGGCGAAGGCGGCCUUCUGGACCAAUACUGACGCUCAUGCACGAAAGCGUGGGGAGCAAACAGG